AUAGAACGCUGGCGGCAUGCCUUACACAUGCAAGUCGAACGGUAACAGGUCUUCGGAUGCUGACGAGUGGCGAACGGGUGAGUAAUGCAUCGGAACGUGCCCGAGAGUGGGGGAUAACGAGGCGAAAGCUUUGCUAAUACCGCAUACGAUCUUAGGAUGAAAGCAGGGGACCGCAAGGCCUUGCGCUCACGGAGCGGCCGAUGGCAGAUUAGGUAGUUGGUGGGAUAAAAGCUUACCAAGCCGACGAUCUGUAGCUGGUCUGAGAGGACGACCAGCCACACUGGGACUGAGACACGGCCCAGACUCCUACGGGAGGCAGCAGUGGGGAAUUUUGGACAAUGGGCGCAAGCCUGAUCCAGCCAUGCCGCGUGCAGGAUAAAGGCCUUCGGGUUGUAAACUGCUUUUGUACGGAACGAAAAGACUCUGGUUAAUACCUGGGGUCCAUGACGGUACCGUAAGAAUAAGCACCGGCUAACUACGUGCCAGCCGCCGCAGUAA
Molecule: ribosomal RNA, 498 nt
Filed under: uncultured bacterium
Lineage: Bacteria
Description: partial 16S ribosomal RNA
Rfam family: Bacterial small subunit ribosomal RNA
Source: RNAcentral